UAGGGAAUCUUCCACAAUGGACGAAAGUCUGAUGGAGCAAUGCCGCGUGAGUGAAGAAGGUUUUCGGAUCGUAAAGCUCUGUUGUAAGGGAAGAACAAGUACGGGAGUAACUGCCCGUGCCAUGACGGUACCUUAUUAGAAAGCCACGGCUAACUACGUGCCAGCAGCCGCGGUAAUACGUAGGUGGCAAGCGUUGUCCGGAAUUAUUGGGCGUAAAGCGCGCGCAGGCGGUUCUUUAAGUCUGAUGUGAAAGCCCACGGCUCAACCGUGGAGGGUCAUUGGAAACUGGAGAACUUGAGUACAGAAGAGGAAAGCGGAAUUCCACGUGUAGCGGUGAAAUGCGUAGAGAUGUGGAGGAACACCAGUGGCGAAGGCGGCUUUCUGGUCUGUAACUGACGCUGAGGCGCGAAAGCGUGGGGAGCAAACAGGAUUAGAUACCC
This 440-nucleotide ribosomal RNA is filed under the name uncultured bacterium. RNAcentral describes it as "bacterial SSU rRNA". It matches the Rfam family "Bacterial small subunit ribosomal RNA", at positions 355 to 787 of the family's 1533-position model. The record is from RNAcentral.